GCCUUCAUAGUCUAACUUUAGGUAAAAAAGUUAGACCUGCAUCAGCUCUUGUUAACGAACAAAAUAUCUUGUCCUACAAAGAAGGAGGCUUCAGUGAUUUCCUUGACUUCAUUUCGGGAGAAGAUAUUGUGGAAGCAAAGUACAUAGACACAUUAAAAAUAAAUACAUGAUGAUUAUAGUACAUGGACAACAGAGCAGGCAAUACUGGAAUUCUCAUUUUUACACUCUUCAAACUCCAUUUUGUAUGAUCCGUGUUUUACAGUAGCCAGAUUUUCUAUGUACUUUGUUCGAAUUUUGCUGGUGAGAUUUUUUUAUUUUUGCUUUUUAUUUUAUUUUGUUGAGAAAAAAAUAAGAGCUCUUCCUUCAUACUAGGAGGCCUUGCUGUAAAAAAAAAAAAUUGAACAAACUUACCAGCCAUUUCAUCUUAACCAAGGUUUCCCUCAAGGCCACUUAUUUUGUUGCACCACCAACAAAAUAAAAAUGCAUCUUCAGGAUCCGAUGAUUUAUCUCACUUAGCUAACAUCACAACUUGGCAGAUAGAAGCCAGCAACUGGAAAGAAGUUCUAACAUUCACCACAUCAAGUCCAAUUUAAGCCAAAUGUUGGUCAUACUACAAGUUUAGAACUCGAGCCACAUUCAUCACUGGUAGACGCACCUAUUGGGAAGAUGUUCUCUCACACAAGGUAAAUUUUUAAUGGUAAAUAGACACAAGAAUUAGUUAUGACCUUAAACUAAUUAGACCAGCAAAGAACAUUAUAUUGAUUUACAGCCACAACCAUAUACAGCCAAAAUCACCUUCCAACAAUACAUUCUGCACAUAUAACACAGGAAUAGCCAGUAUAACAACUGCUCUGACAUUAAUAUUAGUAUCAUUAUUUUGUGUGUGUUCUUUUAGGUUUUCUGUGUCAGAAGUUUCCUUUGUAAGCUAACAGGGAAGCAUGGCUUCAAAACUCAAGUUCCAUGACCCUGGUAAUGCUCACGUUUGAUCUCGCUAAUGUUCAGACACCCAAACUGUUUUACCUCCAAUACUAUUUACUCAUUUCAAACCUUCUCCAAACAAUCUUGUUAUUAUCGCUAGGGAUGGCAAUAGGGCAGGGCAUAUUCGGGGUGGGGCAGGGAGUGUUGUGCGGGACAGGGCAGGGCGGGACAAAAUAUAUUUUCGAAAAAUUAUAAUGAAGGCAGGGAAAGUGGUAGGGCAAGGGGUUUCAGAUGCAAAUUGAAAAUUUCUCAACCUUAUUUCAGUGUCGACAAUGGGAUUGUUGUUGUCAACGUACUAAUGAAAUAUCAAUUGUUGGGUGCUGGCAACGUUUAAAAUAAGAUUUCAUACUAAAGGAAUAUCAAUAACUUCUUUUUUAUUUAAAUAAGAUCAAUAUGGGACAACUGUUUUACUAUUACUUGAAAUCAAAUUAUUUCAAUUACAAAAAUAUUGAAAUAAAAAUAUUGUAAAUUUUCCCUGCUACUAAUUCCAAAAGUAAGCACUCGCAAAAGCCAAAACAACAUAGAAACUAAGUUUGUGUUGUAUCAUUUUAUACUCCCUCCGUUCACUUUUACUUGUCCACUAUUCCUAAGAAUAAAUUUUACUUUUAACAUAUCAAGAAAAGAUAAUUAUUUUUUUCUAUGUUUUACCCUUAGCAUUAAUUACUUAUUUGCCGAAUCAUUUUUCAAGACCUAAUACUAAACAUCAAUUAAUAAGGGUAUUAUAGUAAGAUACUCAUAUAAAUAAUUGUUUCUUAAGGGGUUUGGCGUGUAAAUCCAAAGUGGAGAAGUAAAAGUGAACGGGAGGAGUAUUUGGAAGACCAAAAAGACAAAAAGUAUAUCUCUCUCGCUCAUACUUAAUACAGUAGUGACGCAUUAGUUCGGGUAAUGGAGACAGCAGCAUAGGAGGGGUUUUCAGGAACUCUGAUGGUCAUUGGAUACUAGGCUAUUGUAUGCAUAUUCCCAAUACUACAAUCACUGAAGCUGAACUAAAGGGUCCAGACUAUGCUUAUAUGCAUAUGAAUCUACAUCCACUUCAAGUGGAAAUUGACGCACAAGAGGUGAUCACCUUGCUCUCAUCAUCCAAGGCAAAAUAUGCUAAUAUUUUGUCUGACUGCAGGUCCGUACUCCGACAGUUACAUGAUCCAGUCGUCACUCACAUAUACAGGGAGCAGCACAAGGCAGCAGAUAGUGUAGCUAAAUAUGGAGCAAACAAAACAUUGACUGCUAUGACACUUUUUGAUAGCCCACCUCUUUUUGCUGAAUCAAUGGUUGAAGCAGAUAGACUAGGCAUCACCUUUUGUCGACGUACAACUUUUUGUAACUUACCAACUGAUAGUUUAACUAGUGAGGCAUGUAGUUCAUCUAACCCUACAAUGCCCUGUCCUGUCCUGCCCCGAGCCUCCCUAUUGAUAUUCCUAGUUAUCGCAAACCAAGGAAGGCAAAUGCAUCUCAAUUUCUAUAAUUAAGUUGGUUAUUUUACAUAGAAUUGAUUUCUUAUUGCACUAAAUGGCUGCAAAGUGCAAUCUGUCACCUCUGUUAAUCAGAUAACUUGGGAGACUUACUAUGUUAAUUAUCUCCAUGCAUCAUCAGAAUCAGAAUUAGUAGUAGCAUUCAUUUAAAGACUAUUAAACAAAAUUAUCCCAACUUAUUUCUAAUUCCUUCAGCAAUUGAAGCCAUAUUUUUAGAAAUUCAGCUUAUGGCGCAAUGCUAAGUAUUUAACGACUAUUACACAAAAUCAUCCCAACUUAUUCAGUAACUAUUACAUAAUUUAGUUACUAAACCAAAAUCAGCGACUUGAAGUUACUCGAUUCCUCUCAUGAUGGUCAAAACUUGCGCAAAAUAUAUGAAUAUCAUCAAAUAAAUUGUAGUUUUACAUGAUUCUCACUAUAUCUAAUAAAGACUUUAUUUGCACACAAAAAUUGGAGGAAAAAAUCAACAUAUUCGAGGCAAAAACACUUACGAAGGAAAGUGAAAAAUUGAUUCAGAAAAUUAAACUCUGCAUUUUCUUUUACGUCUCUGAUCUUCUCUGCCCCUACUGCUUUGCUUCUUCUCCAUUGAAGUUUCUGGUUUUCAAUUUUCAUUGGAAGGGGGCUUGGCUUUCAAACGGAUUAAUUUCCUGCUCCGCCGGUUUUACC
This 3113-nucleotide long non-coding RNA is filed under the name Solanum tuberosum (potato). RNAcentral's name for it is "long non-coding RNA (STUB_LNC002151)". Lineage: Eukaryota; Viridiplantae; Streptophyta; Magnoliopsida; Solanales; Solanaceae. The record is from RNAcentral.